Molecule: ribosomal RNA, 432 nt
Filed under: uncultured bacterium
Lineage: Bacteria
Description: partial 16S ribosomal RNA
Rfam family: Bacterial small subunit ribosomal RNA
Source: RNAcentral
AACGAACGCUGGCGGCAGGCUUAACACAUGCAAGUCGAACGCCCCGCAAGGGGAGUGGCAGACGGGUGAGUAACACGUGGGAACAUGCCCAAAGGUACGGAAUAUUCUCGGGGAAACUGAGAGCAAUACCGUAUGUGCCCGAAAGGGGAAAGAUUUAUCGCCUUUGGAUUGGCCCGCGUCGGAUUAGCUAGUUGGUGGGGUAAAAGCCUACCAAGGCGACGAUCCGUAGCUGGUCUGAGAGGACGACCAGCCACACUGGGACUGAGACACGGCCCAGACUCCUACGGGAGGCAGCAGUGGGGAAUCUUGGACAAUGGGCGCAAGCCUGAUCCAGCCAUGCCGCGUGGAUGAUGAAGGCCCUAGGGUUGUAAAAUCCUUUCGUUGGGGACGAUAAUGACGGUACCCAAAGAAGAAGCUCCGGCUAACUUCGUG